This 21-nucleotide microRNA is filed under the name Bos taurus (domestic cattle). RNAcentral's name for it is "bta-miR-6715". The record is from miRBase by way of RNAcentral. Lineage: Eukaryota; Metazoa; Chordata; Mammalia; Artiodactyla; Bovidae.
ACAGGCACGGCCAGUUUGAGC